GGGCGCCUGAGCGCCCGCCGCGCCGGCGCGCGCCCGCGCGCCUCGGGCCGCGCGGGCGCGCGCCCGCGCGCCCGCGCGCCUCGGGCCGCGCGGGCGCGCGCC
RNAcentral lists this transfer RNA (102 nucleotides) under Sorangium sp. So ce836. Its description in RNAcentral is "Sorangium sp. Soce836 tRNA-Ala". Lineage: Bacteria; Pseudomonadati; Myxococcota; Polyangiales; Polyangiaceae. The record is from RNAcentral.